CCGAGUAACUGCCAACCCUCGUGCGAUCAAUACCUUAUACAUGUUUGCCUUCGGCGGAUCAGCCCGCAGCCCCGCUUAAAAGGGUACGUGCCGCCCGAGGAAACCUAAACUCUGUAUUUAGUGAAUUGUCUGAGUAAAACAAACAAAUUAAAUCAUUA
Molecule: unclassified non-coding RNA, 158 nt
Filed under: soil metagenome
Description: partial internal transcribed spacer 1
Source: RNAcentral